Molecule: transfer RNA, 94 nt
Filed under: Clostridiales bacterium
Lineage: Bacteria; Bacillati; Bacillota; Clostridia; Eubacteriales
Description: tRNA-Ser
Rfam family: tRNA
About the family: Transfer RNA (tRNA) molecules are approximately 80 nucleotides in length. Their secondary structure includes four short double-helical elements and three loops (D, anti-codon, and T loops).
Source: RNAcentral
GGAGAGCUGGCCGAGCGGCUGAAGGCGCACGACUGGAAAUCGUGUAUACGGGCUUGAACCCGUAUCGAGGGUUCGAAUCCCUCGCUCUCCGCCA